UACGGAGGAUCCGAGCGUUAUCCGGAUUUAUUGGGUUUAAAGGGUGCGCAGGCGGGGGAUUAAGUCGGCGGUGAAAUUUUGCAGCUCAACUGUAAAAGUGCCUUCGAAACUGGUUUCCUUGAGUGUAGAUGAAGUAGGCGGAAUUUGUGGUGUAGCGGUGAAAUGCAUAGAUAUCACGAGGAACUCCGAUUGCGCAGGCAGCUUACUAAACUACUACUGACGCUCAGGCACGAAGGCGUGGGGAUCAAACAGGAUUAGAUACCCGUGUA
This 269-nucleotide ribosomal RNA is filed under the name uncultured prokaryote. RNAcentral's name for it is "partial 16S ribosomal RNA". It matches the Rfam family "Bacterial small subunit ribosomal RNA", at positions 524 to 792 of the family's 1533-position model. The record is from RNAcentral.